Molecule: long non-coding RNA, 266 nt
Filed under: Chinchilla lanigera (long-tailed chinchilla)
Lineage: Eukaryota; Metazoa; Chordata; Mammalia; Rodentia; Chinchillidae
Description: lncRNA (ENSCLAG00000022361.1)
Source: RNAcentral
CUCUGGUCUCUAUGGGCCAUGUUCUCAUGUUGCAAGAAAUGACUUGAGCCCAGUAAUAGCUGAAUAGUUGUCUCCUGUAAAUGAGAUGGUCACUACAGUCCGUUCAUCAGCCUCAAGCUAAAUGUUCAUCUGUCCCUCAUUCAUGUGGACACCCGAAUGGAUACUACAAAGGAGGGCAGGCAGGACGAACUAUUAGAGCCCUGCACAAGAGGAGCUGUUGUUGUCACCGUGGUGGCAGUGGGUUCGCUACCUGCUGGCAGGUCUGA